GCCUGGGUGGCUCAGUCGGUUGAGCGUCCGACUUCAGCUCAGGUCAUGAUCUCAUGGUUUGUGGGUUCAAGCCCCACAUCGGGCU
This 85-nucleotide transfer RNA is filed under the name Felis catus (domestic cat). It matches the Rfam family "tRNA". From Rfam's summary of the family: Transfer RNA (tRNA) molecules are approximately 80 nucleotides in length. Their secondary structure includes four short double-helical elements and three loops (D, anti-codon, and T loops). Further hydrogen bonds mediate the characteristic L-shaped molecular structure. tRNAs have two regions of fundamental functional importance: the anti-codon, which is responsible for specific mRNA codon recognition, and the 3' end, to which the tRNAs corresponding amino acid is attached (by aminoacyl-tRNA synthetases). tRNAs cope with the degeneracy of the genetic code in two manners: having more than one tRNA (with a specific anti-codon) for a particular amino acid; and 'wobble' base-pairing, i.e. permitting non-standard base-pairing at the 3rd anti-codon position. RNAcentral also lists the same sequence under 1 other name. The record is from Rfam by way of RNAcentral. Lineage: Eukaryota; Metazoa; Chordata; Mammalia; Carnivora; Felidae.